This 161-nucleotide ribosomal RNA is filed under the name uncultured bacterium. RNAcentral's name for it is "partial 16S ribosomal RNA". It matches the Rfam family "Bacterial small subunit ribosomal RNA", at positions 371 to 524 of the family's 1533-position model. The record is from RNAcentral.
AUGGGCGCAAGCCUGAUCCAGCCAUACCGCGUGGGUGAAGAAGGCCUUCGGGUUGUAAAGCCCUUUUGUUGGGAAAGAAAUCCUGUCGAUUAAUACUCGGUGGGGAUGACGGUACCCAAAGAAUAAGCACCGGCUAACUUCGUGCCAGCAGCCGCGGUAAU